RNAcentral lists this ribosomal RNA (110 nucleotides) under Aliarcobacter trophiarum LMG 25534. RNAcentral describes it as "Arcobacter trophiarum LMG 25534 partial 16S ribosomal RNA". It matches the Rfam family "Bacterial small subunit ribosomal RNA", at positions 1 to 100 of the family's 1533-position model. Lineage: Bacteria; Pseudomonadati; Campylobacterota; Epsilonproteobacteria; Campylobacterales; Arcobacteraceae. The record is from RNAcentral.
AUUUAUGGAGAGUUUGAUCCUGGCUCAGAGUGAACGCUGGCGGCGUGCUUAACACAUGCAAGUCGAACGAGAACGGGUUAUAGCUUGCUAUAAUUGUCAGCUAAGUGGCG